UAGGGAAUCUUGCGCAAUGGGCGAAAGCCUGACGCAGCCAUGCCGCGUGAAUGAUGAAGGUCUUAGGAUUGUAAAAUUCUUUCACCGGGGAAGAUAAUGACGGUACCCGGAGAAGAAGCUCCGGCUAACUUCGUGCCAGCAGCCGCGGUAAUACGAAGGGGGCUAGCGUUGCUCGGAAUUACUGGGCGUAAAGGGCGCGUAGGCGGACAGUUUAGUCAGAGGUAAAAGCCCAGGGCUCAACCUUGGAACUGCCUUUGAUACUGGCUGUCUUGAGUUCGGGAGAGGUGAGUGGAAUGCCGAGUGUAGAGGUGAAAUUCGUAGAUAUUCGGCGGAACACCAGUGGCGAAGGCGACUCACUGGCCCGAUACUGACGCUGAGGCGCGAAAGCGUGGGGAGCAAACA
RNAcentral lists this ribosomal RNA (402 nucleotides) under uncultured Phenylobacterium sp. RNAcentral's name for it is "bacterial SSU rRNA". It matches the Rfam family "Bacterial small subunit ribosomal RNA", at positions 355 to 774 of the family's 1533-position model. Lineage: Bacteria; Pseudomonadati; Pseudomonadota; Alphaproteobacteria; Caulobacterales; Caulobacteraceae. The record is from RNAcentral.